This 1238-nucleotide ribosomal RNA is filed under the name uncultured prokaryote. Its description in RNAcentral is "partial 16S ribosomal RNA". It matches the Rfam family "Bacterial small subunit ribosomal RNA", at positions 223 to 1471 of the family's 1533-position model. The record is from RNAcentral.
GGAUGGGCUCGCGGCCUAUCAGUUUGUUGGUGGGGUAAUGGCCUACCAAGGCGACGACGGGUAGCCGGCCUGAGAGGGCGACCGGCCACACUGGGACUGAGACACGGCCCAGACUCCUACGGGAGGCUGCAGUGGGGAAUAUUGCGCAAUGGACGAAAGUCUGACGCAGCAACGCCGCGUGAGGGAUGAAGUACGUCGAGAUGUAAACCUCUUUCAGCAGGGACGAAGCGAAAGUGACGGUACCUGCAGAAGAAGGACCGGCUAACUACGUGCCAGCAGCCGCGGUAAUACGUAGGGUCCGGACAUUGUCCGGAUUUAUUGGGCGUAAAGGGCUCGUAGGCGGUUUGUCGCGUCGGCUGUGAAAACCCAUGGCUCAACCGUGGGCUUGCAGCCGAUACGGGCAGGCUAGAGUUCGGUAGGGGAGACUGGAAUUCCUGGUGUAGCGGUGAAAUGCGCAGAUAUCAGGAGGAACACCGGUGGCGAAGGCGGGUCUCUGGGCCGAUACUGACGCUGAGGAGCGAAAGCGUGGGGAGCGAACAGGAUUAGAUACCCUGGUAGUCCACGCUGUAAACGUUGGGCGCUAGGUGUGGGGAACUUUCCACGUUCUCCGUGCCGCAGCUAACGCAUUAAGCGCCCCGCCUGGGGAGUACGGCCGCAAGGCUAAAACUCAAAGGAAUUGACGGGGGGCCCGCACAAGCGGCGGAGCAUGCGGUUUAAUUCGAUGCAACGCGAAGAACCUUACCAAGGCUUGACAUAUAGGGAAAUCCGGCAGAGAUGUCGGGUCCGCAAGGGUCCUAUACAGGUGGUGCAUGGCUGUCGUCAGCUCGUGUCGUGAGAUGUUGGGUUAAGUCCCGCAACGAGCGCAACCCUUGUCCUAUGUUGCCAGCGGAUCGUCCGGGGACUCAUGGGAGACUGCCGGGGUCAACUCGGAGGAAGGUGGGGAUGACGUCAAGUCAUCAUGCCCCUUAUGUCCAGGGCUUCACGCAUGCUACAAUGGCCGGUACAAAGGGCUGCGAUACCGCAAGGUGGAGCGAAUCCCAAAAAGCCGGUCUCAGUUCGGAUCGGGGUCUGCAACUCGACCCCGUGAAGUCGGAGUCGCUAGUAAUCGCAGAUCAGCAACGCUGCGGUGAAUACGUUCCCGGGCCUUGUACACACCGCCCGUCACGUCACGAAAGUCGGCAACACCCGAAGCCGGUGGCCUAACCCGUAAGGGAGGGAGCCGUCGAAGGUGGGGCUGG